Molecule: ribosomal RNA, 639 nt
Filed under: Clytia gracilis
Lineage: Eukaryota; Metazoa; Cnidaria; Hydrozoa; Leptothecata; Clytiidae
Description: partial 16S ribosomal RNA
Rfam family: Bacterial large subunit ribosomal RNA
Source: RNAcentral
AAAACAUAGCCCUAGAAAAAAAUCUAAGGUGUAACCUGCCCAGUGAUCUUUAAAUCUGAUUAUAAUGUAGUCAAAAUAAGAUUAAAAGGACGCGGUAACCUUGACCGUGAUAAUGUAGCAUAAUCACUCGCCAUUUAAUUGGUGGAUAGUAUGAAUGGUUGAACGAAUAUCCCACUGUCUUAAAGAAAAUUAAAGGAAAUUGAAAUAAUAGUUAAGAUGCUAUUUUUAACUGUAAGACGAAAAGACCCUAUAGAGCUUAACUAUAAUCUCUGUAAAAUUACAAAUGAAUUUCUAAUUCAAUAGUUACAGAGACUGGUAGUUUAGUUGGGGCGACUAUCUUCUAUAUAUAACGAAGAUAAGCAAUGUUAAUAAAAAACUUAUUGUAUAAUCAAUAUAUUUAACAAUUAUGAAAAUAGGCUAUAAUGACCCGUUAACUCUUGAAAAACAGGUUAACGAUCAAUUGAUAAAAGCUACCUUAGGGAUAACAGGAUAAUUUUAUUUUAGAGCUCCUAUCGAAAAUAAAGUUUGUCACCUCUAUGUUGAAUUAAGAUAUCCUGGUAAUGUAGAAGUUACCAAAGGUAGGUCUGUUCGACCUUUAAAAUCUUACAUGAUUUGAGUUCAUUCCGUCGCAAGACAGGA